Molecule: ribosomal RNA, 486 nt
Filed under: uncultured bacterium
Lineage: Bacteria
Description: partial 16S ribosomal RNA
Rfam family: Bacterial small subunit ribosomal RNA
Source: RNAcentral
AUUGAACGCUGGCGGCAUGCCUUACACAUGCAAGUCGAACGGCAGCACGGGUGCUUGCACCUGGUGGCGAGUGGCGAACGGGUGAGUAAUACAUCGGAACAUGUCCUGUAGAGGGGGAUAGCCCGGCGAAAGCCGGAUUACUACCGCAUACGAUCUACGGAUGAAAGCGGGGGACCUUCGGGCCUCGCGCUAUAGGGUUGGCCGAUGGCUGAUUAGCUAGUUGGUGGGGUAACGGCCUACCAAGGCGACGAUCAGUAGCUGGUCUGAGAGGGCGACCAGCCACACUGGGACUGAGACACGGCCCAGACUCCUACGGGAGGCAGCAGUGGGGAAUUUUGGACAAUGGGCGAAAGCCUGAUCCAGCAAUGCCGCGUGUGUGAAGAAGGCCUUCGGGUUGUAAAGCACUUUUGUCCGGAAAGAAAACCUUGGCCCUAAUACGGUCGGGGGAUGACGGUACCGGAAGAGUAAGCACCGGCUAACUACGUG